UUCUAUAACUAAGGCAGUGGAAACUGUCAAUUGAAGUGUUCAGAGUGUGGUCCGUUCGUGCCAUGAAGCUACAGGUGUUGUGUGUGUGCGCGCUGCUCUGCGCUGUGGCGUGUCGCAGUCUGGAUGAGGGGAGGCAGGGACACAUCCCGACCAAGCAGCUUGAUGACGAUGUUGUCAAAAUCAGAGCGAAAAGAGCUUAUAUUAUCGUAGAUUCUCCUCAUUGUCCUGCCAGAAAAGCAUAUAUGUAUGGAUAUUGUAUAGACUGUGCCGAGUACGAAAAGGAGACGGGAGAAAAAUGUCCGACUCAAUCUUAACCGAGAUCCGCGACGACGACGUCAUUCUGGCGUGCAGGUGGACCCGACGAGGAGUUUUGACAACCUAACAAAUGAUUUCUAUAACUGACUUUUGACAAAAAUAUUUCUUGUUCUCAAAAAUCUUGCAAGUGCUGUAUAUUUUUUUGGUCAAACUAACAUAACAUUGAACAUUACCACUGUUCUAAAUAUUAAAUAUGUUGAGAGCAAGAAGCCUGUUGAUUGCUGAUUUAUAGAUCUCAGACAUCGAAUAAAUUUGGAACAAGACUUACUUACGUGGACCUCUACGGCAGGUUUUAUAAUAACGGAAGUCAUCAUACCAAGUCAAGUGUUAACAUAAGGACCGCCACAUGCUUAGAAUAUUUUACCCAUAGCAAAAAUAAUAUGACAAUGCGAUACACAAAUAGGCAUAUUACGGAUUUAACCGUGACUAAGAAAAGUAUAAGUAAAUUCUAAGAUUCUUUGGUUGUUGUAUCGUAGCAGUCUCAUAAAAGCAAGAUAAUUUUACAAUCAUCAAAUUAGUUUAAAAUAAUCAGAAGAAGUUAGAACGAGGAGCGGAUGUCGAGUCACCUGGACUCACUGCGCAACCUCAACGCGCAUAUCCUUAUAUAAAGUUCACAAAACAGUAUUCAUAUACAGUUAGUACCGUUAGAAUUUAGGGCGAUGCUAGCAAUGCGUACUGCCAUAGCACAGAGCUUAGACUUAAAAUUAUUUAGACAGAAAAUAAUCAAGUAUUACAGAGAUGGAAACAGGCACUUAAAAGCUAUAUAUAUUUAGCACUGUAUACAGCACCGAGCUGCAUCUACGGCGCUGGUUGCGAUUUAGACACGUCGUCAGCACAUAAAACUUAAACAAAAGCAUUAAAAAAACCCUUGAGACACGGUUUAAAAGGUAUUACUUUAUUCUGCUCAGGUACGAAAAGGAGACGGGAGAAAAAUGUCCGACUCAAUCUUAACCGAGAUCCGCGACGACGACGUCAUUCUGGCGUGCAGGUGGACCCGACGAGGAGUUUUGACAACCUAACAAAUGAUUUCUAUAACUGACUUUUGACAAAAAUAUUUCUUGUUCUCAAAAAUCUUGCAAGUGCUGUAUAUUUUUUUGGUCAAACUAACAUAACAUUGAACAUUACCACUGUUCUAAAUAUUAAAUAUGUUGAGAGCAAGAAGCCUGUUGAUUGCUGAUUUAUCUCGAAAGGUAAAUAAAGGAAGAACCAUGAAUUAUUGUCUUUUCUAAUUUUUAGAGUGAAAAUGUUAAAUUUCAUUUUUGCAACAUUAAUAAAAAUAAAUGACAUUGUAAUAAUAAGCCAGCGAUAUGUUACAAAUAAUUUUGUAGCACUGAAAUACUUAAUUGUCAAUAAAUGUUUUAUUUCUUUUAAAAUAUAAGCAUCACUUAAUUAGGGGUACCCUAUCUGUUACUAACAAUUUAUUGUAAACACUAAUUAUUAUAUUUAUUUACAUUUUGAACCAAAACAUGUUUAUCUGUGCGAAAUAAAAGUAUUCCAUAAUCAAUAUUUUGUACUAAAACAUUUGCAAUAAAUGUAUGAAAAAUUUCAAAAA
Long non-coding RNA from Manduca sexta (tobacco hornworm), 1867 nucleotides. RefSeq lists it as uncharacterized. The record is from RefSeq and is a predicted model, not a curated record. NCBI's taxonomy places the organism in Eukaryota, Metazoa, Arthropoda, Insecta, Lepidoptera, Sphingidae. The transcript has 2 exons.